GGUUGUUUAGUGUAUUAUGAUUAAUGAGUAAAUGCACUCCCCCUUGAUUUACACCCAAGGGGUCAGGGGUUCGAAUCCCUUAGCGCCCACCA
This 92-nucleotide transfer RNA is filed under the name Flavobacteriaceae bacterium. RNAcentral describes it as "tRNA-Val". It matches the Rfam family "tRNA". Rfam says of the family: Transfer RNA (tRNA) molecules are approximately 80 nucleotides in length. Their secondary structure includes four short double-helical elements and three loops (D, anti-codon, and T loops). Lineage: Bacteria; Pseudomonadati; Bacteroidota; Flavobacteriia; Flavobacteriales; Flavobacteriaceae. The record is from RNAcentral.